Long non-coding RNA from Sarcophilus harrisii (Tasmanian devil), 703 nucleotides. RefSeq lists it as uncharacterized. The transcript is spliced from 3 exons. The record is from RefSeq and is a predicted model, not a curated record. Lineage: Eukaryota; Metazoa; Chordata; Mammalia; Dasyuromorphia; Dasyuridae.
UAAAUAAGGCACUAUUAUUAUUUCUCAUGCUCAUUUCUUACAUCUAUGAGAGAGGUCUUUGUCAGUCAGGAACCUACAAAGGUCAACCAUGGACUAGAAGGUGGCUCCUGCCCUAGCCUUAACUUCCCCAGGCCUAUAUUUUUCCAACAUUUACUGUUGUGUUUAAUGUCUCAUUCAGGCUCUCUGAAUGGUUUCCAGGACUAUGAAAGACCUAAAUCUUCAGGCUGAUUUCCAUCCCACAGUUCCGCCUACAGAAGAAUGACUGGAAUGCUUUGGAGACUAAAGCAAAUAGAGAGGCAAGAACAAAGGCUGUAUAUGUGAAGACUGUGAGUGGCAAUAUAUUUGGUGGGAGAUUUAAGAUUCUAAGAAAUGGCUCCUGUCCUCAAGGCAUGUCUUGGAACUUCUAAACAAGCCUGAAAACAUUCAGAGCAGGAAUUUUUGUUGUUUUUUUUUGAAAUAGAAACUUUAAAAACGUUUUUAAUUUGGUGUCUUGCUACAUAUGAAGAGUGGCAAAUCAAACUCUUUAAGAUAUCCAAUAAUUGUUUUCAACAUGUGAUGACAAUGGAUGAAGAAAUAUCACAAAGUAUUGAUUGAAGCAAAAUGUUCCCCCACUGGCUCUUGUUUCAAUUUUUUCUUUCUCAUUUCUCUAAAUGAAUUUAGGGAAAUUGAGUUCCUUGUAUGCUUCAGUUUUAUAAUGUAUUGA